This 576-nucleotide long non-coding RNA is filed under the name Helianthus annuus (common sunflower). The record is from RNAcentral. Lineage: Eukaryota; Viridiplantae; Streptophyta; Magnoliopsida; Asterales; Asteraceae.
AGCUAGCUAGCCAGCCACUAAUGAUCUCACUUUCUGCAGCUAUUGAUGAAGGCUUAAUUCUGCACGUCAACGUGCUUCUCCUACUCAUCAAGCACUUGAACAGAUACAAAUUAAUGAUCUUCAUUACAUAAAAGAAGACCAGGGCCGUCCCUGAAAAUGAUAUAAAACUUUUGGGCCUCGUGCGAGACAAAAAGUUGGGCCCCCUCCCUAUAAUAUGAACUCAUCAAUCAUAUAGAUUCUCCUGCAUCACAAACUUACUUACUUAAGCGAAUCGUGAGGCUUUUCUUGCGAUUUUGAAAGUAAAGCUCUCGAUCAAGUAUUGUAAUCCAUACCAAUUCUUCUCUAUAUUUCAAUGUACCACAAUUAUCCAUGUUCAUAAAGUGAAUGCAUAACUCAAAUUAGCAUUGAUUUAAAAACAAUAAAAUCCUAGUUUUAUCUUACAAAUAAAUUGAUAAACCUAACAUUAGUUUCAACCCCCUCCCGAUAAUCAAAAUUAACUAACACUAAAAAAGAACUCUAAUAUAUAUGUAACAUAUCCAAAUUAGUUUAGCAACACGAACCUUAUCAUACAAAUAA